Molecule: ribosomal RNA, 558 nt
Filed under: Pluteus plautus
Lineage: Eukaryota; Fungi; Basidiomycota; Agaricomycetes; Agaricales; Pluteaceae
Description: eukaryotic LSU rRNA
Rfam family: 5.8S ribosomal RNA (bases 163-316)
Source: RNAcentral
AUUUAGUAAUCAUCCUUCUUCCCACCUGGCACAACGGUAGGCCACCCAUGUCUAAAGCCUUCCCUGCAUGCGGCUGGAACAGUGGUAUGUGUUUUCUCAUCAACUCCAAAGAAUGAGAAAAGUGUAGAACAAGGUCCAUAAUGGCCUUAUAAAAUCUAAUACAACUUUCAACAACGGAUCUCUUGGCUCUCGCAUCGAUGAAGAACGCAGCGAAAUGCGAUAAGUAAUGUGAAUUGCAGAAUUCAGUGAAUCAUCGAAUCUUUGAACGCACCUUGCGCUCCUUGGUAUUCCGAGGAGCAUGCCUGUUUGAGUGUCAUUAAAUCAUCAACCCCCACUCCCUUGUGGUAUGGGGUGUUUGGACUUGGAGAUUGCAGGCCCACCAGUUGGGCCAGCUCCUCUGAAAUGCAUUAGCAGAGCCCAUCAUGUGCAUCUGUGGCUUGGUGUGAUAGUAAAUCUACACCUAGCAAUGUUGUGCAUCGAAUCUGCUGCCAGUCGUCCGCUUCGUGGACAACCAUUGACCAUUUGACCUCAAAUCAGGUAGGAUUACCCGCUGAACUU